This 339-nucleotide long non-coding RNA is filed under the name Gossypium raimondii (Peruvian cotton). Its description in RNAcentral is "long non-coding RNA (GRAI_LNC009027)". The record is from RNAcentral. Lineage: Eukaryota; Viridiplantae; Streptophyta; Magnoliopsida; Malvales; Malvaceae.
CCUGAGGUCUUGGGUUCAAAUCUUGGUGUGAACAAAAAAGGUUUAGUUUUUGCAAUUUAUGGUCAAGGGUGCAUGGGGUGGAAUUGGAUUGGAAAUCAAAUACUCGGUAGUUAUCAGAUUGUAGGAUAGGGUUGUUGGGAUUAUCUUGGUUUGUUUUAUUUUUUUAUUUUUCUUUCUUUUCUCCUAAAAAUCAGCUUAUUUUUCCCACGUUCAUUUUUUUUUCUCUUUGGUUGACUAAUCCUUUUGUGUAUUCCUUUCUUCUUCCUCCCUAUUCCGUUGCUCCAAAUCAAAUCCAAGCGUUACCACUUGUUUCAAUCAGUAUCGUUGUUUUGCUCAUCA